RNAcentral lists this ribosomal RNA (439 nucleotides) under uncultured bacterium. RNAcentral describes it as "bacterial SSU rRNA". It matches the Rfam family "Bacterial small subunit ribosomal RNA", at positions 351 to 782 of the family's 1533-position model. The record is from RNAcentral.
GCAGUGGGGAAUUUUGGACAAUGGGCGCAAGCCUGAUCCAGCAAUGCCGCGUGAGUGAAGAAGGCCUUCGGGUUGUAAAGCUCUUUUGUCAGGGAAGAAACGGUGCGGACUAAUAUUCUGCGCUAAUGACGGUACCUGAAGAAUAAGCACCGGCUAACUACGUGCCAGCAGCCGCGGUAAUACGUAGGGUGCAAGCGUUAAUCGGAAUUACUGGGCGUAAAGCGUGCGCAGGCGGUUUUGUAAGUCUGUCGUGAAAGCCCCGGGCUCAACCUGGGAAUUGCGAUGGAGACUGCAAGGCUUGAAUCUGGCAGAGGGGGGUAGAAUUCCACGUGUAGCAGUGAAAUGCGUAGAGAUGUGGAGGAACACCGAUGGCGAAGGCAGCCCCCUGGGUCAAGAUUGACGCUCAUGCACGAAAGCGUGGGGAGCAAACAGGAUUAGA